RNAcentral lists this ribosomal RNA (258 nucleotides) under uncultured bacterium. RNAcentral's name for it is "partial 16S ribosomal RNA". It matches the Rfam family "Bacterial small subunit ribosomal RNA", at positions 35 to 305 of the family's 1533-position model. The record is from RNAcentral.
GCUGGCGGCAGGCCUAACACAUGCAAGUCGAGCGCUCUCUUCGGAGGGAGCGGCGGACGGGUGAGUAACGCGUGGGAAUCUACCCAGUAGUUGGGGAUAGCCCGGAGAAAUCCGGAUUAAUACCGAAUAAUGUCUACGGACGAAAAGGUGCCUCUUCUUGAAAGCACUUGCUAUUGGAUGAGCCCGCGUUAGAUUAGUUUGUUGGUGGGGUAACGGCCUACCAAGACUGCGAUCUAUAGCUGGUUUGAGAGGAUGAUC